Apodemus sylvaticus (European woodmouse) is the source of this 1092-nucleotide long non-coding RNA. RefSeq lists it as uncharacterized. Lineage: Eukaryota; Metazoa; Chordata; Mammalia; Rodentia; Muridae. The record is from RefSeq and is a predicted model, not a curated record. The transcript is spliced from 2 exons.
AGAGAGAGAGAGAGAGAGAGAGAGAGAUUUGUAUAUGUAGUCACCCUUACAAGUGCUUUAGAAUUUCCUAUUAGACCAGACAAGUCCUGAGAAGGGAAGGUAGGUCCCCUGCCUAUGACAUAUACGUUUGGAAUUCCCAGGAAAGAAUUUAUAAGCAGUUCGACGGCUCUCUUGAUAACAGCAAGCCAUUUUAUGUGAAUCAUUUCACCCUUUUAAAAUAAAUACAGCAUAUGCUUGUGGAAAGAGCUUGUUGAUGUUUAUGGAAAUACUGUACAACUUACAUAGGUUGCAUUCAUUUCUAAGCAUAUGACUUGAGUUAGAGAAAUGUAGUCAUUAUAUAAUACCACUUCCAGUAACAUCCAACAUCUCUAUCAAACCAAAAUGGAAUUUGGAGCUCAAAUGGCCCUCAUGCCUACUCCCAAAGGUGAUCUAGUGACUUAUAGAAAUAGAGCAGAACCCAGUCAUCUCCCCAGAUUUUUAUGCAAAUGGUCUCGAUCCUUCUGGGGAUGAGCAGAGGUACCCUAGAGUAGCCAUUUUGAGACCCAUAAUUUUCUGGGUUUCAGCUGAGAAGUGGGAGAGAGAUACGGUAAGGUGACCAUUUUGCCUUCUGCCCUAAAGCUUCCCUUUCUCCCAAGGAUGACCUGUGACCCUUAGCACUCCUUUAUACUUCUAGAUCAGCACUGUUCAGGAGAAGCUCAAUGUGGAGUGUGGGUGUGGGAUGUGGGGGUGUGUGGUGGUGGUGGUGGCAGCUGCUACAGAAGUGAUUUUGAAUUUUCUACCACAAUUUACAUUCACAUGUUUGCUGACAUCUUUCAUCAGUGUGGCUCUGGCACACUGGAUCCCUACAUGGCGAUAUGAUCACAGCUCAGCUGAGUCCUGAGCUUCUUUAUACUUCUUCACUGAAAUAAGGGGCCAGCUCUAAGGUUGUUCCCUACCUGUUAUUGCUACAGUAGCUUUCUACAUCAGGUUCUCUCUGUCUCUCUCUUUCUUCUUGUUCUUGUUCUUGUUCUUGUUCUUGUUCUUCUCCUUCUCCUUCUCCUUCCUUCUCCUUCUCCCUCUGCUUCUCCUUCCUUCCUUCCUUUCUUCCUUCCU